CUGAGGGUUGUUUCUCUCCGAUAAAAUAAUGGAUUUUUGGGCAAAAUUUUGCUUAAAAUUUUGAGUCCAAUUUUGAGUCCAAUUUUGAGUCCAAUUUUGGGUCCAAUUUUGGGUCCAGUCCAUGGGUCCAGUCCAUGUUUUGUACUAUGCCUGUGUAGACGGCAAACCUCAAAUCGCAUUUCGUGGUCAACUGUUAGCUGUUUGAAGUCAGGGCAAUUUGGGCAUCAAAUUUGGAGCAUGGAUUAGCUACUUGACUGUUGAAAACUUGUAUAACUUACCUUCAAACCUUCAAAUGCGAUUUGAAGUUUGUCAUAUAUGCGGUUUAUAGCGGUGUGUCGUAAACGUCAAUCCUAUAUAAGGUCUCUGUUUUUGUUUUAUUUCACCUGGAACAUGGGAUACAUACAAAUCUUAGUUACUCCACUGGCUGGAACAAAUGCUUUUCAACGUUCGUGAGUUAUGUUAAUAUGAUACUUCAACAUAGCCAUCACGGAGUAAAAACAAUCAAAUUACACGGAGUAUAAGGCAAGACCUUUCAACGUCGAAUUUCCGUCGAAUUUUACUAAUUUAAUUUAACUGCAUCAAAAAGCGUAUACAGACAACUUUUAUGAUAUAAUGAGCAAUAUAUAAUGUCAGUAAUUGAUAAAAGGAGUAUUAAUAGUACGAAUAGUCGGCGAAUAGUCGAUAAAUAAAUUACUAUCCAUGUGAAUUUUUAUAUAAUCAUUAGGGAGUUAAGCUUCACGUUUCCGGAAACGGCAAACGGCAGAUAGGAAAUUUCUUAGCAAAAUUUUCGUUGAACGUUUUCGUUUCAUAUUUUCUCUCUUGCGUCGAAAGAAUAAUUAUGUAUUUCAGUUUUAAAACAGCAAGCUAAUUUACUCUUUAUUGCCUGAUAUCGUAAAAUUUUUCUUUGCCUGGAGUUUGCCGUUUGACGUAUAACGCGAAGCUUAAACUCUCUAAUUUUCUUUACUUCACCAGAAAGAUCCACUGAGAAGGCCUAGUGCAGUGGAAAUAUGGAAUAGUGGUGCAGUAACAAAGAAUAUGAAGAUGGAUGUAGAUUUAAGCGAUGCAAAAGAUCGUCUAUCGUCUCAGUAAUUCAAAAUUCUGAACUUCUAAUCUAUGUACAUUUCACUUCAAUAAGUAGUUUAAGGAAUCAAUAUAUCAUACUUCCUUAUUUGUCAUUUCAGACAUGUAACGUUAAUAUAUAUAAUGGACACUUAGUUUAUUAUUAUUUACAUGCAGGGCUUCCAUUGCUAUACCAGUGUUUCUACACUGAAUUACCCUGUAUAAAUAAAAUUAUUGUAUUCUUGUUGCAUGCAUAUUGGCGUCAUGUACGGUCAAAUUUAAUGAUCCAUUGUUUUUACGCACUUUUGAGGAACAUUUGAAAAAGGUAAAUUUAGGAUCCCGGGCAUGGCCGGAUUUUGAGGAGAGGUGUGGGGCCUCCUCUGAGAAUUUUUGCACCUCUCCUGAAAAGUCAUACACCUCCCCUUGGGAAAGUUUCAAUGAUAGAUCAAAGUGAAAAUUUGACUUAGGGUCUACACUUCGUAAGAACGUUUUCCUGUAAAAUUGAGACAGUGAUAGCCAUUCAUCUCUGUGUAAUAUAAUGAAGGGCACAAUUGAAUGAGUUAUAUACAGUCAUAAUUCAUAUCAACACUGAUACAUAUGCAUGUGUGCACUACAUGCAUACGUCACGUCGUUGACUUUGGCCCGUUCUAAGCCCUGACUUUCCAUGGGGGUCGAGAGCUAAACCACUGCACCACCCCACCUUCCCCCCCCCUAACAUUUUUGCCACCUCCCCCACUAUUUCCAUCAAAAUCCGGCCUAUCCUUAUUUGUAAUUUCCUUUGACACCAUGUUUACUCAUUUACUUUAAUAAAUCAUUUGUAACUUGCACAGCUGCACUUGGAAUGGAAAAAAAAAAUAAACCUAAAGCGGG
This 1929-nucleotide long non-coding RNA is filed under the name Paramuricea clavata. Lineage: Eukaryota; Metazoa; Cnidaria; Anthozoa; Malacalcyonacea; Plexauridae. The record is from RNAcentral.